This 333-nucleotide ribosomal RNA is filed under the name uncultured bacterium. Its description in RNAcentral is "bacterial SSU rRNA". It matches the Rfam family "Bacterial small subunit ribosomal RNA", at positions 1172 to 1502 of the family's 1533-position model. The record is from RNAcentral.
GGUGGGGACGACGUCAAAUCAUCAUGCCCCUUAUGUCCAGGGCUGCAAACAUGCUACAAUGGCCGGUACAAAGGGCUGCUAAACCGCGAAGUGGAGCGAAUCCCAUAAAGCCGGUCUCAGUUCGGAUUGGAGUCUGCAACUCGACUCCAUGAAGCUGGAGUUGCUAGUAAUCCCGGAUCAGCAACGCCGGGGUGAAUACGUUCCCGGGCCUUGUACACACCGCCCGUCACACCACGAAAGUUGGUAACACCCGAAGCCAGUGGCCCAACCCUUUGGGAGGGAGCUGUCGAAGGUGGGAUCAGCGAUUGGGGUGAAGUCGUAACAAGGUAGCCG